Grosmannia clavigera kw1407 is the source of this 86-nucleotide transfer RNA. It matches the Rfam family "tRNA". Rfam says of the family: Transfer RNA (tRNA) molecules are approximately 80 nucleotides in length. Their secondary structure includes four short double-helical elements and three loops (D, anti-codon, and T loops). Further hydrogen bonds mediate the characteristic L-shaped molecular structure. tRNAs have two regions of fundamental functional importance: the anti-codon, which is responsible for specific mRNA codon recognition, and the 3' end, to which the tRNAs corresponding amino acid is attached (by aminoacyl-tRNA synthetases). tRNAs cope with the degeneracy of the genetic code in two manners: having more than one tRNA (with a specific anti-codon) for a particular amino acid; and 'wobble' base-pairing, i.e. permitting non-standard base-pairing at the 3rd anti-codon position. NCBI's taxonomy places the organism in Eukaryota, Fungi, Ascomycota, Sordariomycetes, Ophiostomatales, Ophiostomataceae. The record is from Rfam.
GGCCCCUUGGCCUAAUGGUAAGGCGUUGCUUUCCGGUUCUUGAACACAGCUGGCAAAGAUUCUGGGUUCGAGUCCCAGGGGGGUCG